This 473-nucleotide ribosomal RNA is filed under the name uncultured bacterium. RNAcentral's name for it is "bacterial SSU rRNA". It matches the Rfam family "Bacterial small subunit ribosomal RNA", at positions 8 to 526 of the family's 1533-position model. The record is from RNAcentral.
AGGGUUUGAUUAUGGCUCAGAACGUGCGCUGGCGGCACGCCUAACACAUGCAAGUCGAACGAAGUAGCAAUACUUAGUGGCAGACGGGUGAGUAACAUGUAGGUAUCUGCCCUUUGGCCUGGAAUAACACGAGGAAACUUGUGCUAAUACCGGAUAAGUCUUUACGGAGAAAGCUUUAUGCACCAUUGGAUGAGCCUGCACUUGAUUAGUUUGUUGGUGGGGUAAUGGCCUACCAAGACUGUGAUCAAUAGCUGAUUUGAGAGGAUGAUCAGCCACAUUGGGACUGAGACACGGCCCAAACUCCUACGGGAGGCAGCAGUGGGGAAUCUUGCACAAUGGAGGAAACUCUGAUGCAGCGAUGCCGCGUGAGUGAAGAAGGCCCUUGGGUUGUAAAGCUCUUUCGUCGGGGAAGAAAAUGACUGUACCCGGAUAAGAAGGUCCGGCUAACUUCGUGCCAGCCGCCGCGGUAAUUC